This 482-nucleotide ribosomal RNA is filed under the name uncultured bacterium. RNAcentral's name for it is "partial 16S ribosomal RNA". It matches the Rfam family "Bacterial small subunit ribosomal RNA", at positions 30 to 507 of the family's 1533-position model. The record is from RNAcentral.
AUUGAACGCUGGCGGCAUGCCUUACACAUGCAGAUCGAACGGUAACGGGCCUUCGGGUGCCGACGAGUGGCGAACGGGUGAGUAAUACAUCGGAACGUGCCCGAUCGUGGGGGAUAACGAGGCGAAAGCUUUGCUAAUACCGCAUACGAUCUACGGAUGAAAGCAGGGGACCGCAAGGCCUUGCGCGGACGGAGCGGCCGAUGGCAGAUUAGGUAGUUGGUGGGAUAAAAGCUUACCAAGCCGACGAUCUGUGGCUGGUCUGAGAGGAUGAUCAGCCACACUGGGACUGAGACACGGCCCAGACUCCUACGGGAGGCAGCAGUGGGGAAUUUUGGACAAUGGGCGCAAGCCUGAUCCAGCCAUGCCGCGUGCAGGAUGAAGGCCUUCGGGUUGUAAACUGAUUUUGUACGGAACGAAAAGCCUUCUUUUAAUACAGGAGGGUCAUGACGGUACCGUAAGAAUAAGCACCGGCUAACUACGUG